Rattus norvegicus (Norway rat) is the source of this 111-nucleotide small nuclear RNA. The record is from Ensembl. NCBI's taxonomy places the organism in Eukaryota, Metazoa, Chordata, Mammalia, Rodentia, Muridae.
GUGUCUGGAACCCUUGGCAGCACACAUACAAAAUUUGGAGUAAUACAGAGAAGAUUAGCAUGGUCCCUGCACAAGAAAUACUUGGUGUCUUCAGCAGAAAGAUAAAUAGAU